Molecule: ribosomal RNA, 216 nt
Filed under: Glomeromycotina sp.
Lineage: Eukaryota; Fungi; Glomeromycota
Description: partial small subunit ribosomal RNA
Rfam family: Eukaryotic small subunit ribosomal RNA (bases 40-216)
Source: RNAcentral
GGGUCAGUAGGUUGGUCGUGCCACCGGUACGUACUGGUCUCACUGAUUACUCCUUCCUGAAGAACCGUAAUGCCAUUAAUUUGGUGUUGCGGGGAAACAGGACUGUUACUUUGAAAAAAUUAGAGUGUUUAAAGCAAGCUAACGCUUGAAUACAUUAGCAUGUAAUAAUGAAAUAGGACGAUCGAUCCUAUUUUGUUGGUUUCUAGGAUUGACGUA